RNAcentral lists this ribosomal RNA (253 nucleotides) under uncultured bacterium. RNAcentral's name for it is "partial 16S ribosomal RNA". It matches the Rfam family "Bacterial small subunit ribosomal RNA", at positions 524 to 776 of the family's 1533-position model. The record is from RNAcentral.
UACGUAGGGGGCUAGCGUUGUUCGGAUUUAUUGGGCGUAAAGAGCGUGUAGGCGGCCAGGUAGGUCUGCUGUGAAAACUCGAGGCUCAACCUCGAGACGUCGGCGGAAACCAUCUGGCUAGAGUCCGGAAGAGGAGAGUGGAAUUCCUGGUGUAGCGGUGAAAUGCGCAGAUAUCGGGAGGAACACCUGUGGCGAAAGCGGCUCACUGGACAGUAACUGACGCUGAUGCACGAAAGCUAGGGGAGCAAACAGG